AUACUUACCUGGACGGGGUCGAUGGAUGAUCAACAAGAUCUAUGGCCUAGGCUAGUGUCCUCCAUUGCACUUAGGAGGGGUUCUCGCCUAAGGUCUCCCCAAGUGGGACAGCCUACGUCAUAAUUUCUAGAAGUGGGGACCUGCGUUCGCGCAGCCCCUGU
Hibiscus syriacus is the source of this 161-nucleotide small nuclear RNA. RefSeq annotates it as U1 spliceosomal RNA. The transcript has a single exon. The record is from RefSeq and is a predicted model, not a curated record. NCBI's taxonomy places the organism in Eukaryota, Viridiplantae, Streptophyta, Magnoliopsida, Malvales, Malvaceae.